Long non-coding RNA from Tympanuchus pallidicinctus (lesser prairie-chicken), 1108 nucleotides. RefSeq lists it as uncharacterized. NCBI's taxonomy places the organism in Eukaryota, Metazoa, Chordata, Aves, Galliformes, Phasianidae. The transcript is spliced from 2 exons. The record is from RefSeq and is a predicted model, not a curated record.
AACAGCUGCAUCCUGAUUUUGUUGGAAAGUUUAUUUUACAGCAUGUAAUGUUAGCUCACCCUGUGUCCCUGGUAGAGCUUUGACAUAAAGCUCCAUCCUUCCUCUGGGGUCAUUUGGCAACAGCCUGGCAAUCAGGAGAACUUUGUUUAACCUGUGACUGCUGCAUCCCUAUAUAAAUGUGGAUCUAACCCAGUUUCCUUGAAUCUGUGUCUCUCUGUUGACAGCAAGGGAGAGAGGCGGGUUGAUGCAGGAGAGGAAUUACUGUCCUAUUUCUUCGUGCCAGAAUGAGGAACUGGAAACAGGCUGAAGGAGAAAGGAGCUGGAUGGAUGUCCCAGAGACCUUAAAGGCUCAGAGGAAGACUGGCCAGGCUUAGGUUACUGUCCCUCUGCCCCUUCCCUGGUACCUCUGACACCAAUUAGGAGCUGGGCUUAUUAGCUGUUUUCCUGCACCAGUCUCCAAACACCACCGAGCAGCACCUGAGCCUGGUGCAGGAUGCAGUGUCUCAGGAUGCUGCAAACAAGAGAGAGGUGAGCCCGCACCUGGCAAUGGGGAGCCCAGCCGCAGCCAGAUGUGAGCUCCUUCCCCAUCCUCCCCCCUUCCUCUUGCCCUAGCCUCAGGCCAAACAGGGAAAAUCCUUCAGCAGAACCCCAGCUGGGGCUGCUCGCUGCCUUUCCAUAGCAACAGUCCAUCAGGGGGUCGGAGUCAGCAGUGAAAAAUGCUUUCUCGCCUUGCCUGCCGGUCGCUAUUUUGAUUGCAUUCCUGGGGAGCUGGGCUGCAGAUGUGGUCUCCUUAUCUUGGGAAGGUCUGAGUCAGUUUUUCCCUGUGUGAUGGAGCAGGCAGCUGAGGUGUGGAAGAGGAAUAAAUAGCUUCAAAGGCAUGCUGGGGGUGUUGUUUGGUGGGGAAAAUGUGGUGGUACCACUCUCCAUCCUAUACUCAUGGUGCCCACAUGACACAGCACGCCUGGAGGAGAUGAAGGAGAUGUCCCUGCAAAGCAACGUUCAGACAGCCCUGGUGUCUUGGCCUAAGAAAAAGGAGACCAGGAAUGCUGCUCCUUGGAUGACCUGAGGAACAUUCCCACAAGAAAGGCACCUCACAUUCACCCACCAA